Unclassified non-coding RNA from Colobus angolensis palliatus, 101 nucleotides. It matches the Rfam family "Y RNA". From Rfam's summary of the family: Y RNAs are components of the Ro ribonucleoprotein particle (Ro RNP), in association with Ro60 and La proteins. The Y RNAs and Ro60 and La proteins are well conserved, but the function of the Ro RNP is not known. In humans the RNA component can be one of four small RNAs -- hY1, hY3, hY4 and hY5. NCBI's taxonomy places the organism in Eukaryota, Metazoa, Chordata, Mammalia, Primates, Cercopithecidae. The record is from Ensembl.
GGCUUGUCUGAGUGUGGUGGUGUUUAUAACUAAUUGAUCACGAACAAUUACAGAUUUAUUUGUUCCUUCUCCAUCUCACUGCUUCACUUGUCUAGCGAAUG